CACGUAGGGCGCAAGCGUUGUCCGGAAUUAUUGGGCGUAAAGAGCUCGUAGGCGGUCUGUUGCGUCCGCUGUGAAAACUCGGGGCUUAACCCCGAGCCUGCAGUGGAUACGGGCAGACUAGAGGUAGGUAGGGGAGAAUGGAAUUCCCGGUGUAGCGGUGAAAUGCGCAGAUAUCGGGAGGAACACCGGUGGCGAAGGCGGCGACCUGGGCCAAUAUUGACGCUGAGGUGCGAAAGCGUGGGGAGCAAACAGG
RNAcentral lists this ribosomal RNA (253 nucleotides) under uncultured bacterium. RNAcentral describes it as "partial 16S ribosomal RNA". It matches the Rfam family "Bacterial small subunit ribosomal RNA", at positions 524 to 776 of the family's 1533-position model. The record is from RNAcentral.